This 26827-nucleotide long non-coding RNA is filed under the name Coffea arabica (coffee). RNAcentral describes it as "long non-coding RNA (CARA_LNC006116)". The record is from RNAcentral. Lineage: Eukaryota; Viridiplantae; Streptophyta; Magnoliopsida; Gentianales; Rubiaceae.
UUUUUUUUUUUUUUUUUGGCGUGAAAAGUGUUUAAGUCGAGUCUAUAAAUAAUGAUUUGCCACAACUAAUGUAGAGAUAUAAACUAAUAAGAUCAAUCAAAACAGGGAUGAGAAGGAGUCCUCUUUGUUGACUGGACCAACCCACAAGCAGCAGAAGGUAUGGUAUGGUAUGGUGCGUUUUCAUUCUGUAUCUUUUUCCAGCCUUCCACAGCGGGAUGGAAUUUGAGUUGGUGAAUUGGGGGGGGGGGGGAGAGGUUGCUGUCAUUCAAUAAACUGUCUUCUAGACCAAACGGAAAACGGAGAAGAAGGAAAAGACGCGUCGUUGGAUUGGUACGAGCAGCAUUCUGCAUUCCUCAUUGAUAUCAUAACUUGACUUUAGAUUGCGACUGAAUUAAAUUAUCGAUAUCUGCUGUCAAAUUACUUGAAUUCCUUGAUUUGAUAGGAACGUAUGAUUCGUUCUCCAUGAUGAAGAAUUUAUGUUCAUCAGAUUCCCUGCAAGAUCCUUGGGACAAAAUUAAAAAUCCAAGAAAGUAAAGAAACAGGGGAACGAGAGCAGUCGCAUUUUUAUUGCAAGUCAUUCUUGACUUGUGAAUGUCACGACCAACAGACUAAGCAGGAAUCCUGUGAAAGAAAGGUUCUUGCUUUGAUGCUUUUGAACCUUUGUCACGGCGUCUGCCCCACGCAUUACAUUACACAACCAGAUGAGCUGUGUUUCAUGUGAAGAACUGAUGAUAGACUGGAGUUAGUUGCCAUAGAAAAUUUUCACUCCAAAGGUGGAAGGAAAACAAAUCUAAAACUGGAAAUCCGCAAAAUAACACUUAAAAACUUUAUUAUAGUAAACAAUUUUCAUUUUUAUUUUUCCCCUUUCUGAAACAGGUUUCUCUGGACAUGCUAAGGCAGUUGUCUUUAGUGAAAACAAGCAAGCUCUCUCUUAUGGGAAUCUCGACCACCUGGCUGGUAAGCAGGAUAAGCUUAUGCUGCUAAGCUCUUUGAUGCGAUCUCAUACACAUUCUCUGAAAGCCCAUUGGAGGACAAGAUCAUCUCGAGCUGUGCCUGCAAGAAUCCGCAAGGGUUUUCUCAAUGCUUUGACUAGCCAAGAAGAACGCUGAUGAUGAUGAUGAUGUUAACUAUUUCGUUAAAAAAGUAACCGCUUUUCACAGAGAAAAGUAUCUUUUCAGCAGCAGCAGCAGCAUUGAGUAACUGACAGUAAAAAAUGCCAUCAUGUCCAGACAAAUUUGAGUGUGUAGUAGUUACCUUGGCAAGAUUUUGCCGAGUUUCAUCAUAACGCUUCCACCUUGAGAAGGCUGACACCAUUCGAGAAGCCACCUGCAAUUCAAUUCACGAGGAAAUGUUCGUAUGAGAUUAAAAUGACCAAAUUCAUAAUAUAGUAUAGUCUUGAAGAAAUUUCUUGAAUGAACCUGAGGAUUCAAUUUGUCAAGCUGCACUACGAUUUCCCCCAAGAAUUUGUAUCCUGAUCCAUCUUUUGCAUGGAAGUUGACUCGUGAUCCACAAAAUCCUCCAAUUAAUGAAUAUACCUGCAGAACAUAUCAAGACUGAGCACUAACAUGAUGGGAAUUACCAAGUGAAAUUUGACAUUAAGCGUAAUAAACCUUGUUUGGAUUGCGCAAAUCAAAGGCAGGAUGUGCUAGAAGCUUCUUGACAUUUUCAACAUUCCCAGGAAUAUCUGAUACGGCUUGAAGUGCAAACCACUUGUUUACAACCUGGAGAAAAAUAGAUUAGAGCAAUCUUCAAAAGAACCUGAAAAAGGUUUUCAUUCUCCCUAUUCUUCUUACAGAGAAGUAAUACUCAAAAACUUCAUUAAUCACACAGCGAGUGUGAAGUGAUUUAAUCACAAAGACACAAGAUCAAUUUAGGACAAUAUCCCAAAUUUCGCCUAUCAAAACCUUACCCCAGAGUAAGAGUCAGCUGCGCAAGACCAAUUUCUCCAGUUAACUUGGAUACCAGAAUAUUACUGGUUAACUAAAUUGGUUAUUUGGUUAAUUACACUUUGCCCCUGAACUUUGGGGGUAGAAAAGUUAGAAACCUUAGCUCCGGCAAACACUGUGAGUGCAAUGACAUUAUUGCCCUCUUAUUUACGAGAUAAAAUUUUCCAUUUUAUUGCUAAAAGAUAACAUUUCCCCUUUCAUUGCUAAAAGACAUCAUUUUCUCUAUAGUAUCUACAAUACAAAAAUAUCAAAUUGAUAAAAGCAAAAAAAAGUUGACAUUUAAUUUAUUAUCCUUAAAAUUUAUCCUACAAAAGCAAUGUUCAUUUUCGUACAUAUUUUGUUCAAUUUAUUAGACUUUAAGUCAAACAAUAAGGAUAAAUAACACGGUACUAACAAUACAUACAGUUUCCGCAACAAAAGGGUAAUGGUGUCAUAAUAUCAGUUUUUGUUUUUUGACAAAGUCAAGAAUUCCACAGUUGACUAAUCUUCAUGGGGAAUUUAUAUUUUUAAGGUUGGGGAUGGUAAAGUAAUUAAGCCAUUGCUAUUUCUUCUUUUAAUAAUUCAUCCAAAUUUAGCAUUCACAUUUCCUAUUUCCCCACCAUGAUAACAUGCAAAAUACAAACUUCCUUUGUCCAAAAUGAUACAUGGCACAAUUAAAAAGCUGAAACCAACAAGAUUUUUAAUCAGAGACAUGAAGAAACUCCUACAAAAAGCAGAACACCUAUUAAAGAAGAAACAGUGAAGGCAUACCAAAAAGUCAUGCUGCCAUUUGUUGUAGAAAUCAGCCAAAACUUGAUCACGAAUUUCGCCAGGCUUCUGUUCAAUGGCAACAAGAGCUGCAAUCUGCUCCGUCAUGUUGGUAGCAGUCCUAUAUUCAUUUAGUAAAAGCUCUGUAACUUCUGGAUCAGAAAGAGACCCAAGAUAUGCUGUCAAAAAAGGAAACAAAUGCGAUUAGCUAACAAAGUUCUGGAAACAAUAUAAUCCAGAUGAAACAUGGGGAAUGAAAGGAAAUAAAAGGCUAACUAACACACGUAUUUUUGAGGGCACGCCUAGCCAUAUUGGGAUGGUUAAACUCAUAUGGUUCUGAGCUGCAGUUACUUUUCACCUGAAAAAGAGCCCAAGCCAAAUGAGAAAUGAAUCAAAAACCGCAAUCGAAAAAAGACUUGACACUUUUCGACUAGCUUAGAAAUCCAUACUGUGUUGAGGAACUCUUCUUUUAAUGCAGAAGCAAGCUCCUUUCUGAUGAAAUUUCGAACAGCAUGAACUGCAUCUGGGUCAGCAACUUCCAUCAUGUCCAUAAUCUCUCCCUCUCCAGGCAGGGUUAUUGCCUUUGAGAUAAACUCCUGAAUAUUACGGGCAUUAAAAGUUAAAACAAUGAAAUCCAUUCUCAUUUAUUAUUCCUUCAAAUGAAUGGAGAUGCACCAAAGCCCACACCUUGUCCAGGCUUGAAUCACAAAGUAUGCUUCGGAGUCCUUGUACAAAUUGUGGGUUCAGAACCAAGGUCUUACUCUCCUGGAAAUCACCCACCAGGCUAAGCAUAAGCUUCCUAGCCAAGAUCUGCCCGGCUUCCCAACUAAUGUACAGAAACAUAAUAUCUUUUAGAGACGUAUCUCAAUUCUUUAUUUAAUCAGCUAAUAGACUGGAUUGGAAUAAAUGCUCAUGAGUUUCAUGUCUACAUACCGGUUGAACUCAUCAGAAUCAUGAGCAAGGAGGAAGAAUAGAUCACUAUCGGUUAGAUCAGAGUGAAGCCUCACAGGAGCGCUAAAACCUCGUAACAAGGAUGGAAUCGGCCGCUCAGAUACAUCAUUGAAAAUGAAUUCUUCUUCUUUCUGCUCAGUAGGAACAAAAACUAUACAUCAUGAACACAUUUUAUUUCAACCAUCUUAAAAUGCAUUAAAAGCUGAACUAUUUAUGCCUAGAUAAUGGACAGUUCUCUCUAGCCCUAGGUUAAUAAAUUAAAUUCAGCCAUGAGCAUAAGUAUUAAUCUUCCUUGUGCAAGUUCUUUAUGCAAGUUAGGCUUAUGUAUUACACUUCACAAACAGAUCUAAAAUUUGUGUCACAUGUAUAAAGAAAAAAAUAUUUACUAUGUAUAAAGAAAAAAUAUAAAUAUUUUUUUCUUGUAUAAAUAGCAGACAUCUUUACUAUGGGCACUAAUAUGAUUUUUACGGCAGAAUUCAGCAGCAAUUUGGUUCUCAAAAAAGGAUGAACGUUAAGAACCUAGUUUAUAUUUGAGUAAAUUUGGUGCUGUCGAUGGAAGUGGCUUAUAUAUUAUGUUCUUCAAGAAAAUCAAGCAUCUUUAUUUCUCAUUUCCACCACACAAUGACAAGAUCCAACUGAAUCUUGUAAAUUUGAGCUUUCAAACUGAAUCUUUACAUAACAAAGAUAAGGCAGUUCAAAGAAGAUGACUCAGAACACAAGUGAAUCAACAUUAGGAUUUCAAUCUGACCUUUGUUACUCUGAGAAUGGUAGUAUAGACUGGUUGACUAUUGCUACCAAGUUGCUCCAACUUUCCAUCAUGAUACACAGAAGACAGAGCUAUGUCCUUGCCAGUUGAGUCAAGCAGACCUAUGGCAACAGGAAUAAACAUAGGUUCUUUCACUGGCUGCCCUGGGGUUGGGGAACCUCCUGGCUGGAAAAUACAAAAGGCAUCCAUGUUAUUAUGACAAGUUAGAUAAUUUUGCAGAAAUUUUCACUAAGACUUGAUGGCUAUAACUCUAUAAACCAGCAACUCUAGGAGUUGUACCUAAACUUCAAAGAAUAAGUACGAGCUUCAGGAUUGUAUGCAGAGGCAACCUUCAAAGAAGGAGUUCCAGCUUGAGAGUACCUGCAUUUUUCUUCUUUGUAAGGGCUCAAGCACCCAAAAGCAUAACAAAAUGCAGAUAAUUUUUUUGGUUAAAUUUUUGGAUAAGGCAACUCCACAACUUACCACAGCAAAAAGUUGGAAAAAUCAGCACCAUUUGCAUCUCUCAUGGCUGCAAAAAAUUCUUCACAAGUAACAGCUUGACCAUCAUGCCUCUUGAAAUAGAGAUCCAUUCCCUGUGUGAAGAGUAACAAAUUUUCUAAGCAUAUGUUGAACUGUAGUAAGCAUCUCAAGUUAAUUAAAUGUAGGUAGUCAAGCUCAAAUGCAUUCUUACUUUUCUAAAUCCUUCCUUCCCCAAAAGGGUUUUGUACAUCCUCACAACUUCAGCUCCCUGAUCAACAGGAUUGCAAAUGAACCAAAGCCGAGACAAGUAACAUCCAGCAGAGAGAGAUGAAGAAAGAAAGGGAGAGAGAGUGUGAGAGAAGAAGAGAGACAGAGAGAGAUACCUUUUCAUACACCUGCAGAGGAUUUAAACAAAAAUGAACAGAUGAAAAAUCAGUUGCAGAAGUUCACACACGGCAGAGAAGAAAAUUAACACGAUGCAAAUGCUAUGCCUUACCGUUACUGCAAGUUGAAAAUCAACAAUCAUAUCCACCAUAUCAGGAGAUGUAAUAGCCAAAACAUUGUAUAUUCAAGUCAGAGGCAAGUUUCAAUGUUCAAAUUGCUAAAACAUAUAUGAAGCCAUCAUUCACUAAAUUCAAUGAACCAAGAGCUUGCCUGUAUAGAAGUUGUCCAUCUGUCAAGGAGGAAAAAAGAACUCUGAGCAAAGACAGAUGAAACUAUUGAUGCAAAAGCUUUGAAAGAAGUCUAUCCAUGAGAGUGACUAUCAGAAGAAAGAGGAGAAUCAAGACCUUGAUAUAAGAGUGAGGUCGAACGGGAUGAGCCAUGGGACCAGCAUCCUAGAUGAUUAUGACAAAUAAUAGUUAGUCACAACAAGCUGAACCAUGAUCUAUUUGGAAUAACAUGAUUUUCUUCUAUCAAAUUGAUGGUUCAUGAUGAACUAAGCCAAGAUUUAGAAAAUUAAGAUCUGCAACUCAUGUCAUAGGCAACAUAGACAACUUCAUAAACCUGAGGAUAUUGAUAAAUUCGAAGCUUCGAAACAUCAGCUAUUCUCUUCACAGUACGGCUGCCCAUAUCAGAUGAAAAUUCCUGUCCAUUGGCAUCCACGAUUAGGAGCUAAGCCAAAAGUAAAUUUUAUGAUAACCACAGCCUCUAGGAAAAAGAAGUAUGCACCAACCUGAUCACGGAAGACAGUGAGCCCUUCUUUCAAACUAAGCUGGAACCAGUCACGACAUGUCACUCUGCAAUUAGCACAGUAGCGAACCUCCCUCUUAGUGUUUUUCGAAAAUUUAAGUUCAAGUUGCAUAAAAUUUUAGUACAAGCCUAAUCAAUUAAAUAACAAGUCCUGACAUGCAAGAAUAUGAAUAAAAGUCCUUAUACAACAGCCAGUAAAAAAUUGUCAAGUGCAAUGUGGAGGAAUAGGCUUACCUGUUGCCUGUCCAGUUGUGAAAAUACUGCACCAAGGAUGACACCAAUCAGAAGUCUAGUACUUUGAAACUAUGAAGAAUUUACCAACUUCAAAGGACUAAUGAUCAAAUACCUCAUGCCCAAUCACACCCAAAAUUGCGCAUAGUCUCCAUCACUUGCAGUUUCCGGAGAUGCCAAGACAAGCUUGGAAUUGAAAAUCUGCAACGGUGGGGGAAAAAAUUUCAGAGCCCAUUUCCAGAAAAUAGAACUCAUAAAAUUUUAGCAAAGAAUCCCCCAUUCAAAAAGUGGCAAAAUUUCAGGAAGCUUACAUUCAAACUCUUAUUUUCCAUGGCACCCCUGAGAGUAAAAGUCGAAAAAAGUUGUUAGUGAAUUUGAAGGCAGAUGUAUAAUAACAAUUCUGCAAAAUCAAAGGAAGAGCAACUAACAUGUUAAAAUCUGGAACAGCAACAACAUUGAAGAGAUCCAGGUCAUACUCAAGCCCAAAGACCUUUAAAAAGCAAAGAUGGAAGAGUUAGUAGAGCUUGAACCAUUUAGGCCAAAUGAAAACAUCAGAAAAGCCGUCCAAAAGGAAAUCUUACAUCUUCAUCCCAUUUCAUAGCAGCUUUCAGAGAAUACAUGGCAUGGGCUGUCUUGGGCAGAUCCUGUGCUGGGGUCCAGAUUUUAAGUAAGACCUUACGCCCUGAUCGAGUAAUAAAAGUAUCAUCUCUGCUCUCCAACUGUCCAGCAACUAGUGCGAACAGAUAACAUGGUUUCUUAAAGGGAUCCUCCCAUACAGCAUAAUGCCUGCCCCCCUGCAGCAGCAACAAUGAUGCUUAACCUUCGAACAACUCCAUUUGGUAGAAAAUUUGCUUCCGUUGCAUCAUAAACACAUUUUCGAGUCAUCUUUUUAUCUCAAAUACAUUACAUCACAAAAGUGUUACAGUAUUAUUCUGAAAACCUUUUAAAAUAAUAUUCUAUCCAAACACAUUCUUGCUAUUGAAGAACUAUACCUGUAGGUCUCCUUGCUCAUGAGAUUUCCAUUAGACAACAAAACAGGGUAUAAGGACUUGUCAGCUUCAAUACGACAAGUGUACUCUGCCAUUAUGUCAGGACGAUCCUAAAACAGAGAGCAAAAUCAUCAGUAGGUGUCGAAAGAUAGCAAAUGCAAAGUUAAAGUGAUGCUAAACAAAUACAUUACCUGAUAGAAUGUAAUUUUUCGGAAACCUUCAGCUUCACAUUGUGUGCAAAAGUUACUAGAUGACUUAUACAGCCCCUACAUACAUAUCACCAGGAUCAGACAUGAUGAGAUGAAUGACAAGUGCACAUAAGAAUACACUAGGUAUGCACAGCGAUGCCAGAAUCCCAUUCUACCAAAGUAAUAUAAGAGAGAAUUGUUUUGACCUCAAGGGAAGUGUUCUUCUGAGGCAGUAUUUCAGUAACGAUUUCCAAUGUGAAUCUGCCACUGGGAGGUGAUACAAGAGUCAGGUGGCGUGGGUUCAAGCAAUAUUCUUCCUCCUGAAACUCUUUAAUUGCUUGAUCAGAAAGCAAGUUCAAAAGCAUUAUUACACAAUUCAAAGUCCAAGAUUCAUCUCAUUCUAAGAGAUCUGUUUCACACUUUAUGGAUCAAAAAGAGAAUGCACUCAAAACAUACAAAAAUUCCAUAAACAGAAAAAACAACUAACUGUCAACCAGCAAAUUAUGCCAACUUCAGCAACAAACAUGUCAAUCAGUAAAGUCUUGGAUGUCAAUGCAGACCUUCAAAGCCUUGCCAUCUAUAGUUACUGAAAUCAACUUGAGAUCUUGUCCGUCUAAGACCAAUGGGGAAGAACCACCUGCUUAUAGAAUUCACCAGUCAACAAAAACCAUAUCUACAAGAGCUUCGUAAUUAAAAUUCCAGACAGAACUCUGAGAAAACAGAUGCUUUUGCUCUACAUGAUAUAUUUACCACCAAAAUAAAAAGCCAAUUCUUCUGUGUUCUGGGAAAAAAAAACAACCAUAGACAGAUGCAUUUGCUGUUGUCCAACAAGUGAAAAUGAUUACCUUCAACUCUGGGGUAGACACUUAUUUUGGAAGAUACGAUUGUUUUCUCCUCUCCCAGGGAAAAUUUCAAAUCCACCUGAGAAUUAAUUCCAUUAGUUCAAAGUUUCAGAGUAUCUAUGAUCUAGGCUUCACAAAUCUAUAAAUUUACCGUAUCAAAAUAGAAGUCAGGCUGCUUGUAAUCUUUGAGGAAAAUUUCUUUUGGUGUUUCCAUACUAGGCUCCUCAACUUGCUUCGGUACUGGUUCUGUUGCGACUGAGCAAAUUAACCUCUGGUUGAAUUUCUUAGCACCCUAUAGGGAGAUUAAAAGCCCAUAAUUAUUAAAUAUAGAGGACCACAAAAGGUAACUAUCAUCAUUAGUGUUCGGAUAAAUCAGAUACAGACUGUAACUGCUUACAGAUAACGUAUAAGAUGGAACCCUAUAAUUCCUCCGCUGAGUAGCCUAGUGUAUCACAAAUUAAGAGUAUCAGAGAACUCGUAUCAAGAUUCCCAUGACUUUAGUGAAGGAUACGUGUAAGAGCUAGCAAAAAACAGAAGUAAACAAACAUACCUCAAAACCUACAAUCCACCUAUGCUUUAAGAUAUCAUUGAAAGAAUGCCGACAAGCAACACGACGAGUCACCUGGAACUGCAAUAAGUUAUAGCAAAGAAGUUCAUUACGCGGUGGAUACAGCAAAUCCAUGCAUAUAACUUCCAAAACGCAAAAAGAAACAUUGUGAGAAGCAAUUGCAAUGCAAAGCAGGAGAUUUACUUCGAGUAAGCAACACAUCCAUUUACUCCACGAGAAUAAAGCUCAAGAAUUGCAAAGGCAAUAAAUUUGUGAAAGCCAAUAAUACACACACAGUUAUGAAACUUGAAAGGCAAAAAAAAAAAAAAAAAGCAACAUCCCAAUUUAGAUAAGGCAACAAUAAUCGAUUUAAAAGCAAUGCAGAAAUGAAAUUUUUACGCUCAAAGUUCUUCAUUUUUUACCAGAUUGCCUUGAAAAUGAGCCCAAAAAGGUCAUAAGAACAAAAGCAAAAGUAUAAGGAGCCAAAAGGGAUUGAGUAAUCACAGGAGUAGAGGAUACCAAACCCAAGAAACAAGUCUUUGACAAAGUUGGAGUCUUGCAAGGCAGAAUCAAUCGAGCCAUCACCCAAUUACGCAACUCCUACAGUCCUAUUUCGUUUUCUACUCAGAAAUGUAACAGUAACAGUAACAGUCAGUAAAAAUCAGUUUAAUCCUGAAAGUCGUUAAGCCCUUUUCAAAAGAUUCAGUUCUCGACCAAAACCAAAAACACCCAAAACCUCCCAGAUCAGAAAGUAUAGAAACCCAGACGAGAGAAAGCAGAGGGAAAACAUAAGAGGCAGAGCAAAGGGUUGCUAUAUAAGGUUUGUAAGGGUACAUAUACGGAUAAUUCAAGGAAAAGGACGCGAAAAAUCAGAAAAGACAGAUAUUCAAAAUAUGAAAAUAAGCAAGAAAUUCCCCAGAAAAUAUCAAUCUUAAAUUGUAUAACCUUUUUGCUGAUGAUCAGAGAAUGAUUGAAGACAGAGGAGGGAACAGACGAUCUUUCAGAAGCCUAGGAAGGUGAAACAGAUGUAACCUUCUCCAGGACUCUAAUAGUUUGUUUACGCUAGUAAGUGAUGAUGUUUAUGGAUGGAUAAUUUUUUUUCAAUUUAAAUAUUAGAGGAAGAUAAUUUUGGUUCAAUAUUGUAAACAGAAUUAGCCAAAUUGUGGGCCAAUCUUUGAUGGGACCGGUUGAUUUGGCGGUUACUGCUUGUUUAACAGAAAUAAGAAUUCAUACCAUUGGGCCUAGCUGAAGCUAAUAUGGGGCAUUCUAGGGUUUAGAGGAAAUGUGGGGCAGGAGUUUUUUAUUUCCAAAGUGAAGGGAGUCACAUUCGGUUGAAUUAUUGGGCCUAUAGUCUGGUUUGGGCUAGGAAACAAGCCCUGCAAGUGAUAACAACCCAACGAAAAGUUCGACCCUACACAUUUGUAACAAUGUAGAAAUAAAUUAUUUUUAUAGAACUUUUUACAAUUUAAAAACAUUUUGAUCUUUUUUACUAUUCUUUCUAUGACUUCUUAAAAAAAACUAUUUUUUUCUAUGAUAUUACAGUUAUCUUGAUAGCUACAAUGGUCAUGGACAAUUGUAUUGGUAGUAAGUUUAAAACUAAUUCUGUAGGAAAUUAGUUAUGGUUAUUUUUACAGAAUAUCAUUGUGAGAGAAAAGGUUAAGAGAAAAAGAAGGGAUUUGGUUAAAUUUGGAUUAAUAUUUUAUAUACUGACAGUGCAUGCACCAUCACCGUUCGAUGCAGAACAGCUCAUCUUAAUUUAAAUUUGAAGUUUAAAUUUUUUUCAUAUGUCAUGCGUCCAACUAUGCAUGAUAGUAUAUACACUGUCAGUAUAUACAAGAUUUACUCAUUAAAUUCAGCAUUAUUUUUUGCAAAAUAAGUUAUAGUCAUAUUGAGGGAUUUUACAUAUGGAAGGUGCUUGUUUAUUAGCAAUAAUACGCACAUAUAUGUAUAUAUAUAAUUCUGGAUUUAAUGAACUGUUUUUUUUUUUAAUAUCUAUCAGAUACGUUUACUUGAAUAAAAUCUUUUGCUAAUUCGUUUUUACUUCAGAGUGAUUAGAUAGGAUUAGGUUCCGUCGGCACUUUUCAGGCAGGUUCUUAAAAGUAGGAAUCAGUUGUAAUUUCUAGAGUCACUUUCAAGGAAAGCGCCUAAGAGAUACUAACUAAAGACUAAUGGAAUUAAAAACAGCAGUACUACUGUAUGCUGGCAUGUUCAGCUGCUUGAAAUAUAUGCUUACCCACAUGUACUUAAGAGUUGAAAGAAGCAAAAAAAAAAAAAAAAAGAGCACGUUAUUAAUUAAUGGAAGCCCUUUUGGAUUUUACGACCAAAGUCCCUCAGUGAUGAGGGAUCAUCUUUUCUUUAGACAAAAAUGAGAUGGCCAUCAUAUCUACCCAGCUGCAUGCAUUUGCACAUAGUUAAGCGAGCUCAAUUAGCCACCUAACCCUGAUUUUGUUUGUUUAAAAGUGAAAGAAAGAAACUAAAGGUAUUUCCUGAUUAUAUAUAUAUAUAUAUAUAUAUAUAUAUAUAUAUAUAUAUAUAUUAUGGGCUCAGUAGGGGUGCUGUCGAGUUGAGUCCACUACUCGAGCUCGACUCGAGGCAAAAUAACUAAGUUCGAGCUCGAACUUGAGUUCGAGUUUAAUUAAAUGUAAUUAAUUCAAAUCAAUCUCAAUCGAGCUUAUUCGAGUUCAAUCAAGCCUAAUCAAGCUCAAGUAAUAAAAAUUAAUAUUUUAUAUAUAAUUUUAAAUAAAGGAUAUUAUUGACAUUUCACAAUAAUAAAAAUUAAAAUAUAUAUUAUAAAAACCUCGAUAGAGUUCGUCGAGCUCUUGAGUAUUAUAUUUCUAAGUUUGAGCUCGACUCGAUAGCUCUAACGAGCAGCUCGAGCUCGAGCUUGGUCAACCGGCUCGAGCUCGAGCUGCUAACCAAGUAGCUCGCGAGCUCGAGUCGAGCUAUUUGGUUCAGCUCCAGCCCUAGGCCUCAGUUCUCAGUAUUGAGCGAUGAGAGCUCGGCAAACACUUCCCAGGUGGAAUUGCAGUACCUGUGGGCUGCUGUUAUCUAUCACACACACACACACACACACAUAUAUAUAUAGACGCAGUGGAUGCUUUAACCAUUUUUCUUUCUUGGACAAAAAAUAAAAAUGUGCUUCGGCCGCUAGCUGUUCUCUUGGAUAUAUAUUAUAGUCUCCAUCAAAGCUGUUUUUUCAGUUGAAUGCAUGUGUCCAAAUUGAUCUUGGAAGUGAUGCGUGCAUGAAUAGAAUAGAAUUUUAGGUUAUGAUUAGAUGGACUAAGUCGUUCCUUGAAAGUGAAAGUUUUGUCCACCAAAUUUGUGGCAGUUUUUGGUGCAAAAUAUAAGGGAAGAGAGUAUGUGUAAUUGUUGCGGGGCCAUGAAAAGAAAUAAAUUAAUUUUUUUAAUAAUAAUUAAAAAAAAAACAUAUAUAGAGACCAGGAUGAACCAAUCUUUUGUCUGUCUUUUGAGCAACUAACAAGACUAAAAAGCUAAAGAGUUUUGGCAUUUGUUUAUGAUUCAUACGCUUGUACUCUUUUAAGUUGCCUGCCAGCUUUGUUUGUAGGCCAACAGACUUCCAUUAUAUUCUAAGAAGACCAGACCAGACUAGAAUAUUGCCCUUGUAGAGAUCGAAGAAAAACGUAAAAAUAAAAGAAUUUUCUCAAAUUUUUUUUUUUUACACUUGUUAAUACUAAAAAAAGAAAAAGAGAUAAGAAAGAAGAAGACAGAAAAUUAGACUUUGUAAAAAAAAAAGAAAAUAAAGAAAAAUCUAAUAUUAUCGUAUGAUUCAAAAAUUAUUGAAAUUAGAAUUGAAAUUCGGUGUUAAAUACAAAAGUGAUAUAAUUUUAAAAUAAUAAAAAUAUCAAAACCCAACUACUACGUGCCAAGUAGAGAGAGUGUAGGAUAUAUGAGGAUGAAUCACGUACGUAGACAGCGAAUUGGUCUUCUCACAUGCAAGCAUGUGCUUACUUGCGGGUCUCUUAGGUUGGCACAAAAAGAAAAGAGUGUUUUGGACUGGUGUUGAAGCUGGAAAGAGCCAAAUUGAAGGUAUGACUCAAAGGUCAACUUAACAGUCUCUUGAGGGGUCGCGUACAUAUGGAUCGGACCCGGGCCGGAACGGUUAUACUGACAAUCGUUUCGAAAGUUUAUAUGUAUUUUACAUGUAAUAUAAUAUUAUUUAUAUAUGAUAUAAUACUAAAAUAAUAACAAGUAAUAUUAAUAUAAUAUUUUUUGAAUCUCACACGUGUUAAAAUCUGGACCUUACAAAUUUUGUUGGGCAAAUCAGAUUUGGCGAUUAACUGACAGGGACGGUAACCAUCCCUGCCCCUCUCCCAUAUGGAUGGAUACGGAUGCGUGGAAAAAGUCUUUACCAGUAAUUGAUUUUGUCUGUGGACCAGAUGGGAUGCUUUUGAUAAUCUCUCAAUUUCAUAUGGACAAUAAUUGCUUUGAUGGUUCGUAGGAUGCAAUUGCACUCAGAUCGAGUCGAGCCUCCAUUCCACGCGUUUGAAUUUUUCGAACAAUUAUUAUGUCUUAUUUCCACUUGUUUUGUUUUAUCUGAAUAGAAUAGAAUUCCGAUUUUCUCUCUUUUUUUUUUUUGUGUUUUAUUUCCUUCCUUCAACAAAAAGGUUUGUCAGAGAGGAUGACUAGCGUCGGUAUACACUAUUCAUUUUGAUCAUAAGCAAAUCAUCACAGCAAAGUGCUUAAACUAGAUGUCAAGAUUUGCCUUCCUUCGAUUUUUCUUUCUUUUUUUUUUUUCUCUCUCAGGCGUUGUGCGUAAAAAACUACUCCCUCCGUCCCACUUUGAUAGUUCUCGUUUUCUUUUUUUCGUCUGUCCCAAAUUGUAGUUCACUUUCUAAUUAAAUAAUGUAAUUAUAUUUUAAUUUUUCUAAAUACCCUUAUUCAAUACUCCCUCCCUUUUUUUAUAACUGACGUUUAAGGUUUUGCAACACCAAUUAAGAAAAGUUUUUUAUUGUUUAAAUCUAUACACUACUUUUCCUUUUGUACCCUCAUUAAUUAUCCAAUUCACCCAUGUUUUCUCUCCACUAGAGUUAUUAAGGUGCUGUUUUACUAGGCCAAAAGCAAUGCAAACCAACUCUCACCAAUUAUGAAAAGAGAGAUAAAAAGGAUAAAAUUGUGAAAAAAUAAUUAAUGAUGCAUGGGGAUAAUACAACGACAGAUAAAAGUACUUAAGAGCAAAUUUCUUAAACUUCAGUUAUAAAAAAAGGGAGGGAGUAUAAGUUAUUGUGACUAUAACCUACCUCAUUUAAUGAGAGUUGAUUCUUUUUUUACCAUCAAUUCAAGUUCCCAUAAAGUUGUACCUAUAUAAUGUGAGGGUAUUUUAAGAAAAUAACAAUCUAAAUUUACUUUUUCAAAAAGUUACUACUUUUUUUUAAACUGUGUGAAAAAAGAAAUGGGAUUAUCAAAGUGGGACGGGGGAGUACUUGUUACGUCUGUUUAAUUUUAUGACACAGCUGUUUUAUCAUUAUUUUUAUAUACACAUUACUCUUUAACUUGUUUGGAAUUAUCCGAACAAUGGUUCGUAACAAAAUUUCUGUCUAAAUGUCGUGUUUUGACAUUAGUUCGAAGUACGAUACCUGCAAAUUUUGAUUUUGUUAACCUUUGACUAUCAUACAAUUAAUUCUAUCCGAGUUUUUUUUCUCUCAUUCGCAUCAUAUCUCUACGUCACACAUCUAACAUCAUAAUUUCUCCAAAACACCCCUUUUUGUCCCUCUUUUGUGUGAUGUGAUAUCCCCUUCUUUUUCCCUUAAAAAUUUAAAAGGAAAAAAAAAAUCUUCAUUGGCAAUAUUCACUAAAGAAAAACAUUUUUUUUUAACAUUAUUACUUUCAAUUAUAUAUACUUGAUCCGAUAAAAAAAAACAUAAAGGAGAUGAGAAAACUCUACAUCCUUAAUUAAUUAUUCAAUAUAACACGAAAUUCAACGCCCCUCAACAUGGAAACAGUGGAUUGUGCUCUAUGUGUCUGCACGUGAAAUCCUCAGCCAGAACUAAAACAAUAUGAUGAACGAUAUACAAUAUACCAAAAUCUUGGCAAAACUGUGGAAAUAGACCACAGGCCAUACUCACUGUUACAUAUAAUAAGUCAUCAUGCUUGAAUUUAUGCAGACACUCAAAAACUAUUUGUCAAUUUAUUGACAACGUAAUUUCUAAAAUUUCUUGAUACUGAAAUCCAACCAAAAAUUUUAUAAUCAUCUCCUACUGGAUUAUUUACUUUUCUAUUAGUUGAUAGAGUAUGUGGGAAGUAGCAUUUUGACCGCGUGCAUGCAUGAAUUUGCAUUUCAAAUAAAAAAAAUAAAUUGUAUAUUAUAUAUAAAAGUCAAGACGAUUUGGGGUGUAUACUCCAAUAAUAGGCUGCACAUUCAAAAAAAAAAAAAAGGGAAGAAAAAUAAAAGAAAAGAAAAAAUGACUUUGUGAGUAAAGUAUGGACUUUCCUAAUUUUAAUAUACUAAAUAGGUUGAAGUCAAAAUUUGUUCACCUAUUGUUGGGUUGAUAUCCUAUCAUAAUUUGAAUAUAAUAAUUUAAUUUCAUAAUGCGUUAUAUGCAAGAGUAACUAUAAAACUUAUUGAUGAUUAACCAACAAAAGACAUUCUUGUCCCAUAUUUCACAAUUUAUAAUAUAAAAACAAAAUAGAACUAACUCAUUUAAAAUAAUAAAUAAAUGAAUUUGGUGGUUUUUUUUUUAUUUUAUCUUUCAAAAAUACUUAACUUUGCAUUUUCAAAAUAAAAGCACUGGGUUUUAGUUAUUUUAAAUAAAUUUAAAUUGAAUAGUGUCAAAUUUUCAAAUGACAUUGUAUAGUUAAAUCCGUAUUCAAUUUCAAAUUGAAGAGAUAAACUCUGAAGUCAACUAGAAAAAUCACAUAACCUACAAUUGAUUUGUGUUUUUAAGAUAUACUUAACUUUACCUCAUAAUAUAAAAAUCACAUAAAACUAAAAAAUUGAUCACAAUAGUUACAAGCGUGGGCGUCUGGAAAUGUAAAUAAAAAUUUGAUAAUAUUAUAUAAAACCCUUAACAACCACAACAAAUUUAAAAAAUGACAUAGCAGUGUUACAUAUUUACAUUUGCAGAAAAGAAUAAGGUUAAGAAUAUGCAAAAUAAGGAAGAAAACUCUAAGAUAUUUUUAGUUGUUGGGUUUUUGGCUUUUCUUAAAGCCUUUUUUUGAUAGAUAUAUACAAAUUAAGUAGAUCUAAUUUACUGUCAAAUGUUUUAUAUCUUUUCUUGAACUAUAUUAUUACUUCCUUUUCAUUUUGGUAGGACUAAUGUUGUUUCACUUAAUUUUUCAUCAAAAAUAAAGAUUUUUAAUAAAAAUUUUCACAUUGAAGGGCCAAUAAAAUUUAUUUUUAAUUUAGUGAUUUUAAAUUUAGGCUUUAUUAAUGUUACCAUUAUUUAUUCAACUUGAUCAAUGGGUACAUGUUAAGAGGGUUUCAAGUAUUAAUCUUUUUCAAAAAAAAAAUUUAAUUUGGAAGAGUAUUUAAAUACUUGGGGAUAAGUUACAUAAAUCCUUUUUUUUAAUCCAUAAAAAUCUCAGGUUCAAGCCUUCUCACUUACAAAAAAAAAAAAAACUAUUAUUUCCUUUUUGUUUUCUCUAUAACUUGACCUUUUCGCUUUUAGUUAGGAUUUUAAAAUUGAAGGGUAUAUUAUUAUUAUUUCCUUUUUUACAUUUAGUGAGAAUAGUGAUGUUUCCCUAGUGUUGUUUUAUAGUCAUUAAAUGGCCAAACUUAUUUUUGUUAAGAUUAAUAAAAGACUAAAAGAAGUUUGGUAAGGUUGAGAAAAAUUGAUAUUGAGAUUGCAAAAUCAUAUGCACUCUUUCCUAUUUAUGAUAUACCACGUUUGGAAAAUUUUGCUUUUAGGGAGUAAACUUAACUAAUAAAAGGAUAUGUUUAGGAUGAAUCCAAACAAAGAUAAUAAUGAUAGUAUAAAUGGCAAUCCUCGAUUCAUUAACCUAAAAUAGUGGGAGAGUUCGAAAUUUUGAAUUCGAGAUAAUGAUAAGAUUAGAUAAAAAAACCCAUUAUUUCAAAGUUUUUAAUUGGAUUUUAUGCGUUAAAAUAAUUGAAAAAACAAUAAUGGGGUUUAAAAGCUACAAUAUAUAUAUAUAUAUAUAUAUAUAUAUAAAGAAAACAAGCUACAAUAAUGGGGUUUAAAAGCUAGAUGCGUCCCAAUCGAUUUUUUUGAUUGUAUACAUUUACUCCCUUUCUAUAUAAAGAAAACAAAGUACAUUUCUCGACAUACUGUACUAAGAAAAAGAAAAUAAUAGUAACAAAAUAUUUAUAAAAAAAAAAAAAGAAGGGGAGAGGAGCGGUACUAUUGCAAUUAGUUACGGACUGCAGAAGACCAUUCCAGUCAGACUGUCCUUUUUUCUGGUCCCAUUUAGAUGAAUAUCCCGGCUCCCCUCAAACGUGCCUCCUCCUUCGAGUUUUGAUUGUGUCAUUUGUCAAUUUGUUAUAAUUGUCAGCCUAAAUUCUCAAUUUCUCAGACAGAAGAACAGCACAUAAUAGUACAGCACAUAAUAGUAGAGAGAUUCUGGACUAGAUUUUAACUUUUUAUGAAUGUUUUGUUAGGAGAUAAAAGGGAAAUGAUGUGUGCUUUAUUUUGAGUUGGACACAUUUUAAACACUCUGUUGGUAUCAUUGGAGAGUGAAGUGGACUUGAACAAAUGAAUGCACUCAAGUACUUGGUACUUCUUCGUUGACGGGUGCAUGCUUCUAUAACAAACAGCUUCUUGAGCUGAAUUCAUGCUGAUUUCCGAACUUUGAAACUCUCUUUUUAAUAGUAGUAUUUUCUUGAAUAAAGGCAAAAGAAACCCCCUUUUUUUUUCUUUUCCUUUUUUCGCUCAUUUACUGACUUUCCAAAGUAAAAUCCACUCCUCUUUCGUCUUACUUUCGGAAAAUAGGUCUUUUCACUGGUGAAAACUUGAAUACUUCGAUAGCCUCCAGGAAGAAUAGUUCCAACAUCCAACCCAGUGUCAACUUUCGUUUGUCUGUGAGUAAUACACUAGCUAUCCAAAUAAUAACUCAGGAAAACAGAAGUUGAUAAAUGAACGUGUUCUUUUCUAUUGAAGCGUAUUUUGUGUUGAAUGUAAUAAAGUUUGUAUUUUAUGACUUCAUUUGACAGGUUAAAAGAAAAGGUUGCUUGUGGAGGCUAAUAAGACUGUUGGGUUGCUCUCAGUUGGAGAUUUUAUUGGGCUUUAUUAUUGGAUUUUGGAAGCUCGAGUCUUCUGGGAUUUGCAGAGGAAAAAGGUCUAUCGUUGAGCAGAAAAUCUGCGGUUCGAGAAAUGUAAGUUUUCAGAUCUGAAUUCGAAUUUAUUAAUUGUGAUAAAAAAUGGGACUUUGGACUAGAAUUCCUGCUAGUAAUCUCUAACUAAGAUCCAAUAUCCUUCAAGUUUCAAUCUUUGUUGAUAUUUCCACUACCACAGGGAUAUGUAACUAAGGAGAGUAGUAACUUUGAUGGCAUGCGUGGGCAUUAUGUUUGUAUUGAGUUUUGGCAUAUUUCUUGGAGGAUUAAACGUAUUCAGUUCUUGUGUCAUGAGCCUGUAUUAAUUGAAUUGGAUAUCUCAUUGUUUGUAAGUUGUAACAACUUCAUUCUUGCAUAUUCUGCCUUUAUAAGCUUUACGGUGGCUCUGUUGUAUUAAUUCCGAGCUGGUCAUGAUUGACGGUUGUGCCUUGGCCUUUCGCAUUGUUUGGUUUUGUAUUUGCCUUCCAGUAGCACGAUAAAUGUCGUGCUUAGUAAUCCUUCUAACGUAAUUAUAUUUGUUAUUGGAUGCACUCCCUCUCCUCUUCUCUGUAGCUUUGUGCUAGUUGCAUUGCUUAAUUUAUUCAUAGGCUGAAAGUUCUCAAGUUUUGUCUUCUUGUCAUAGGUGCUGCCUUUGGUAGAGUUUGUUGCUAUUUUUGGUACAUGGGAACAAGUUAUCAGAAAUAUGGAUGCUGGGGAAGAUAGUUCUAGAUUUGCACCAAGACCAAGUACGGCUUCGAGGAAUUUGUCAUCCUCAUCUUCAGCGUUCUUUUCAGCAAAUCAAUCACCUUUUUUCUCUCCAAGAUCACCAACAUGUCAAGAUCACCAACAUGCUACCAGUAUGUUCAUUGAUCCCCUAAAUGCCUUUUUGAGAAUUGCUUACUUAGAAUCCUUAAGAAAUGUGACUUUUGCUUUGCCAGAUGCUUAUCCUAGUGCUGCAGCUUCUUGUCCUCCAAUUGAUCUUCAGAAGUUGGAACAAGUUUCUUCUUCAACAUGCAUUUCUGACUGCAGACUGUCAAGCUUUGUACGUGGUCAACAGUAUCGUGAAAAUGAUUAUAUGAGGCCCAUAGUGAAGCAGAAAAAGCUGGGGAAGAUGAAUGAAACUUCAGUAAAUUCGACUUCUACUUCGUCUUGCUCAAAUAGAUUGAGGAGUUGUGACGUGUACAUAGGCUUCCAUGGUCGCAAACCAUUAUUACAACGCUUUACUAAUUGGCUUCGUGCUGAGUUGGAGGCUCAAGGGUUGAGUUGCUUUGUAACAGAUAGAGCUCGUUGUCGAAAUUCCAGGAAACAUGCUAUUGUUGAAAGGGUGAUGGAUGCUUGUACAUUUGGGGUUGUGAUCUUAACAAGGAAGUCCUUCAGAAAUCCAUAUACAAUUGAAGAGCUGCGGUUUUUCUCAAGCAAGAAAAAUUUGGUUCCGAUAUACUUUGAUCUGGCUCCAGAGGACUGCUUGUCAGGGAUAUAAUAGAGAAACAAGGGGAGCUAUGGGAAAAACAUGGUGGAGAGCUCUGGGUACUCUAUGAAGGACUGGAGAAGGAAUGGAGAGAUGCUGUUUGUGCCCUUUCUCGUGUUGAUGAGUGGAAACUUGAGGCUCAUGAUGGGAAGUGGAGAGAUUGCAUACUCAGGGCUGUUACUCUUUUGGCAUUGAGAUUGGGAAGGAGAAGUGUCGUCGAUAGAUUAACAAAAUGGAGAGAGCAGCAGAGAAGGAAGAAUUCCCUUUCCCACGAAAUGAAAAUUUUGUUGGCAGGAAGAAGGAAUUAUCAGAGCUGGAAUUUAUGCUUUUUGGCGAUGUUAGUGGAGAUGCGGAAAAGGACUAUUUUGAGCUAAAGGCCAGACCUAGGAGAAAGAAUCUGACCAUUGGCUGGGGUAGGAGCAAUUCAGUAGAUGAGAAGAGAAAGGGGCGACAAAGCGAAAACAGCAAGAGAAAGGGGAAAGAACCUGUUGUCUGGAAGGAAUCUGAGAAGGAGAUUGAAAUGCAGAACAAUGAUUUUCCAGAAUCACAGCAGCAUACCCCAAAACUUAAGAGUAAUGCAAAGCAUGGUAGGAGAAGGAGAUCCAUGAAGGUUGUCUAUGGAAAGGGUAUUGCUUGCGUCUCAGGAGAUUGGGGAAUGGGCAAGACAGAGCUCCUUCUUGAGUUUGCAUACAGAUUUCAUCAGAGAUACAAAAUGGUUCUCUGGAUAGGAGGCGAAAGUAGGUAUAUCAGGCAAAAUUAUUUGAACUUGUGGCCGUUUUUAGAGGUUGAUGUAGGAGUGGAAAAUUGUCUGGGAAAAAGCCGGAUAAAAGCUUUGAAGAGCAGGAAGAUGCUGCCAUAGCCAGAGUUCGGAAGGAACUCAUGCGAAACAUACCUUUUCUGGUUGUAAUUGAUAACUUAGAGAGUGAAAAGGACUGGUGGGAUCACAAACUUGUAAUGGAUCUUCUUCCUCGUUUUGGGGGAGAAACCCAUGUCAUCAUAUCCACACGCCUUUCUCGUGUGAUGAAUUUAGAACCUUUAAGACUUUCUUACCUAUCAGGAAUUGAGGCAAUGUCUUUAAUGCAAGGGAAUGUCAAGGAUCUUCCAUUACCAGAGCUUGAUGCUCUACGGGCAAUUGAGGAAAAACUUGGAAGGAUAACUUUGGGCCUUGCCAUUGUGGGAGCAAUUUUGUCUGAACUUCCUAUAAAUCCAAGUAGGCUUUUGGAUACCAUUAAUAGAAUGCCUUCCAGGGACAUGAUGUGGAGUGGUAGAGAAAGUCAUUCAUUGAGGCGAAAUCAUUUCCUUCUACAACUUUUUGAGGUUUGUUUUUCAAUAUUCGACCAUGCAGAUGGACCAAGGUGUUUGGCGACAAGAAUGGUUCUAGCUAGUGGUUGGUUUGCACCAGCACCAAUUCCCAUUUCUCUUUUAGCUCUGGCAGCUAACAAGAUCCCUGAGAAACACCAGCGCCAGCAGCUCUGGAAGAAAGUAUUGAGCUCAUUAACUUGUGGCUUCACAUCCUCAUAUUCUAGAAGAUCUGAAGCAGAAGCAUCUUCAUUACUCUUGAGGUUUAAUUUUGCUAGAGCAUGUAUGAAGGAAGGUUGUAUCCAUUUCAACCCACUUCUGAAGCUUUAUGCCCGCAAGAGAGGAGUCAUUGGAGUUGCACAAGCCAUGGUACAAGCUGUAAUAAGUCGAGGAUCUAUUAACCAGCAUUCUGAGCACAUAUGGGCAGCAUGUUUUCUGCUCUUCAGAUUUGGAAAUGACCUAUAGUUGUUGAGCUUAAGGUGACCGAUUUAUUAUUUCUUGUUAAAGAAGUUAUCUUACCGCUUGCAAUCAGGGCAUUCAUCACAUUCUCACGAUGCAGUGCUGCCCUAGAACUUCUUAGGCUUUGUACUGAUGCAUUAGAAGCUGCAGAUCAAGCAUUUGUCACCCCAGUUGACAAGUGGUUGGAUAAGUCCCUCUGCUGGAAACCUAUCCAAACUAAUGCCCAGUUGAAUCCUUGCCUUUGGCAGGAGCUUGCAUUGUCAAGAGCUACAGUGCUAGAAAUCAGAUCGAAGCUAAUGAUGAGAGGGGGACAAUUUGAUAUAGGGGACGAUCUAAUUAGGAAGGCUGUGUUUAUUCGAACUUCCAUCUGCGGUGACGACCAUCCUGACACCAUUUCUGCAAGGGAAACCCUUGCCAAACUUACAAGACUCCUUGUUAAUGUUCAAAGCCAUACUUCCAUAAAUAACUUUUUUCUUUGUAAGCAUAGUUCAUGGUAGCCACACACAAUUUUGAAUAAAUAACGUUUCAGUUCAGAAGAAAAGUCAGUGCCAUUUCUACAUGAAUUAGAUAGCCAUUCUUUCCAAAAAUUCUUUAUAUUGCUCUAUGAAAUGUAAAUCAUUAUUGUCAUUCAUUCACUCUGUGUUAGCUGUUGUUUCUGAACCGUUUAACGUGCUGUUUACAGCUAUCCUUGUUGACUGAGUUUCUUGUGAACAGAGCCUUGAAGGUAAAAAAAAUAGUGUUGCAUCAAGUAAUAUGUGCCUAAUAUAGGCUCUAUCGUUUUAACCUUUGAUGCACCUGGCCUACUGCUUACUCUCCCACUAUAGAUGUAGUGGAGCUAACUGCUGCCAAUUGAUAUAGCCACUAUGGAGCUGACUCCUUACUCUCCAAAAUAUGUUCCUGCUUCUCUGUUGAAAAACGCGUUCCCAUUCUGGCUUUCCUUCGGCUAAGGAUAGGAAGAAGUCCGAUGAAUGAAAAAAACGAGACGCGUUUUUGGUCACGCCAAGUAUUUUGUGCCAAAUUGGUUUAAUGCAACAUAAGGAUUGGGAAUGGUUAUGCAUGUAGUGCAUGUGGUUCUGAAAUGUACGAGGUUGUAUUUGUUGCCUGUAUUUAAAACUAUUCUAGAUAAGCUAGGAGAUUUGCUGUAGUUAGUCAUCACAGUUUCUUAAUUGGCUGUACCAUUGCAUGACGCUUGAAAAGUGCCUCUUUGCUAACAGUUCUGAGGGUAAAAGAUAAGAGAAAGGAAGCAGAGAUCAGGGCUUCUGAUCUAUUUAAAUCAUAUGCUCUGAGCCUUCGAAUAAGUUAGCAAGCGGACUAUUCUGUAUUUAGCUUUGCUUCUUUUGGCAUUCUUAAACUGGCAAGCAGCUGAAUUAGUAUGUUGCUUGUUGUCUUUUUAGUCUGUUGAUCUGAUUGAGGUGAUUGACAGCAAACAUAAGAAGUAAAUCAACAUUUUUUUGUGUGGCAUAGAAGGGAUACUAAAGUGCAAGCCACCAGUUUAGGCAGGGAAACGAGUAUCUCAUGUUAUGAGAUUAUGAAAUAGCUUUUUAACAGCUCUAAUUCAAUUUAUGCUGUAAUUGCUCAAGGGAAAUAGAAACAGCGCUGCAUGCCCUAAUAGACUGCCAAUGGAUAACAGAAAUAUGGAAAAAAUUGGUACACCCAAAUCAUUGGAAGGAUUUCUGGGAGGAGGACCUCACCUAACUGAAUGGAUUGACUGGAAUUUAAUCAGAAGACUUAAGUUGGGGGAUCAUAAUCCAGUUGAUUGUCUACCAUUCGUGGGCAGCAAGGAAUGAGUUCCAAGCAUCGCGAGAGAAACAUAAGAUGGAAACCACCAUUGCAGCCUUGCUAAAGCAGGCUUCACUAGCACAGAGGGCAAUGCAGAACCAAGCAAUCAGCUUUGACAAAGAAAUAAAAAUGAUCAACUGGAGUAAACCUCCAACAGGCUGGAGUGGAUGGGGCAGCUGCAGGGAAUCCAGGGAAGGCAGGUGCAGGUGGACUACUGAGGGAUGAGAUGGCGUGGUGGGAGGGGGGAUUCCUAGCAAAUAUAGGAACAGCAAGCAACAUCAUAGCAGAGCUGCGGGCACUUUUGAAGGGAGAGAGGCUAUAGUAAGAUUAUAAUCGAAAUGGAUUCACUUGCAGCUUUACAUCUAGUGGAGCAAAAUCCUACUGCAAGCCCCCAUACAAAUUUGAUCUAGAGGAUCAGGGAAAUGAAGGCACGAAACUGGGAAUGCAAGAUGGUCCACACUUGGCGAGAGGGCAAUGUUUGUGCAGACUAUCUAGCGAAGGAAAGUUUAAAGACAAGUGCUGGAGUCACUUGGAUCGAAAGUCCCUGGCAGAACUUGGCAACAUUCCUGGCAGCAGACAUCAUGGGAGUCAGUACCUCCAGACUAGUUUCCAUGUAAUAGGCCACGGCCUUCCAAAGUACCAAAAAAAAAAAAAAGUGAAAUAGCUUUUCAACCAGCUAAUUAGAAUGGCCAUUCGGUUUUCUUCUGAUUGAUAGUCUAUGAUUUGCAGAAAUUUACUCUGGGUCAACAGGGAUUAUGCACUAAUAAACUGUACUACCAGUAAUACCUACUACUUUGUUGCGUAUUGUCUGGCUUUGAUUUUGUUGAGAUGUGCAGCAUGCUUUGGAGCUGAUACUCUUAUCGCCAGUUGCAGUAUGAUGUAAGGAAAGAGUAGAUAGCUCUUAUGUAGAGAUUCCCAAGAUUCUACCCUCCGGAGUUGCAGGUGUUCUUGGAUCCUUUCAUAUUACUAGACUUUUCCGGAUUAUUGUCAACACAAUCGGCAGGUCGUGGACGCCAGAUCCUGCAUGCUUUUUAUAGAGUUCGCUAGAGUCAUAUCAGCAGAAUUUUUUCUUGUUCAUAUGAACAGAUUUACUAGUGAAAUUUUAGUAGCAUUCGCUGAGAAAUCAAGGAGGACUCCACCUCUCCUUUGCACCAUUUAUUAGAAGAUCAUUUUCUUAUGGAUUAUUGGGAGAGACGUUUCCAGAACAUGCAAUCAUUUCCGGUAUUUUUAUGGAGCUUCUAUAAGCUGUACUUGUGGAUAAAACAAAAAUCGAGUAUAAUUGCUGUGCUUAAUGUUUAAGAAUUUACUUUUCUUUCAUUGUUGAUUAUGAACUUCACCCUACAAUAGGAGUUAGAAAUCCAGGCCAUGGUGGCUUCAUGAUCAUAAUUCAAUUUCAACAAAUUGGACAAAAUGAGGGCUCACGUAGGGCCGUAAACUAACUGAGCCCUUAACAAAUAGUUCUAACCUGAUUCAUUAAGAGCGCUCGAUUUUCAUUGAACUCGAGCUCGAAUUUGAAUGGAAAUUAGGAUUCAUUUAUAGUAUCGGUUCAGGUUCGAACUUGUAGAUAUUUGGUUGAUUAAGGCUCAAUUUGAUUCAAAAAAUUUUUAACAUUUUUAUUUAAAGUAUUUGUUAGUAUUUCAUAUAAACAUAUAUACUUAUUAUUUUAUUAUAUAGAUAUUAUAUAUGCAUUGGUGAUGAUUUAAUAUUAAAAAUGAAGAGUUAAAUAAAUUUUCAAACUCGACUCAUCAAAUAUUAAAUCGAAUCGAGCUCAAAUUUUAAAUUUUGAAUUCGUAUAGAAUUCGAGUUCAUACUUGAAUUUGAGUCAAAAAUUUCGAAUCAAGCUCGAAUCGUGAAAAGUUAGAUUCAAUUCGUUCACGCCAUAGUUCCCUGCUGCCAUUCUGGGUUAGCAAGCCAUAUUCUGCGUCAUGGCAGUAGUAGUUGAAAUUUACGAUAAUUUGACAUUUCUCCUCGUCAUUAUCAUCUUUAAGUUGCCAAUAGCUCCUUAGAAUUGAUCUAGUGACAAACAAAUUUGACUAGGUUCUUUUUCCUGCAUCUUUUUUGUUCAAAAUUGAGUCAGUCACUUGAAAUCAUCUUUCUAAUGAUUUUCUUGCUUCAUUCUGCAAUGGUGAUUCCCGGUGCUUGGAUCUUUCCGUGUUGCUUUUGUUGGCUCCUACAUUUUGUGAGAUUGCUGACUCCUUGUUGUUUAUGUUUGUUGCUAUAGUAAGAAGCCUGUGCUUCUGACAUUGUUCCGUGAUUUUUGAGACUGAAGUGGGAUGGGCCAAAGUAGAUGCUAUGGGGUCUAUUGAGUCCAAUCCAGUUAUUUUUGGUAUUAGACUCAGAGUGAAUCCCUGAUAAUUGCCAGAUCUGUUUCUAUGUAUGUUCAUGGUUCCUUAGUUAAUUUGUGUUAGGCUAUUGUAUUAGUGGUCACUAUGCUAUCAUUUUUUUCUUGGUACUUUUCCCUUCUGGACUUUAAUUCACGGGAUUGUUUGCUAAGUCAUGGCAAACUAGAAUGUUAUAUUGAUCUUCUGAAAGGUGACAUUUUUUUUUAGGCAUUCUGAUGGAAGGUGAACCUCAUUCCUUUUUUCAACUGAUAUCUUUGAAUUUUUUUCCCUCGUCCCGGGAAAUUUUUUUUUUUUUUUUUGGGUAGAAGAAGGUGCCAACAUGUUCUUGCUUAAUAUUGCAUUAAGUGGUGCGAUCCAUGUUUGAGUUUGCGUGUGCAAAAUUGUGAAUUCAAUGGUUUGUUGAUAAGCACUAAUUCAUUGAUCUCCAAGGAAAAAAAGGUCAAUGAUAUGGAUAGAAUUUGAAACUUUUAUUCGGACAAUGCUUAAGAAUGCGCAGUCUAAAAAUAUAGACAUGGCCUAGGAUUGGUUCGACCGUGAGCUUCCCCACUAUGUUUUUGUUUUCUUUCUUUAUUUGCUAAUCAAUUUUAUAAAGCCAAAUUCACCAAUUAAACAAUUUCAGAAAAGGUUCAACUAGCUACCCUAAUAAUCAAAAGAAUUAUUUUCUCUAGGAAAAAAUAGAAAUGACCUUAAAAUUAGCUAAGCAGCAAAGGCUGCAUGUAUUUUCUCACAAAGAAAUUAAAAAAAAAAAAUUGAAGGAGAACAAUCUCUUCCAAUUAAAAAGAUUGUUUAGUCUCGAGUCAACUGAGACAACAAAUUACCUUUUCAUAGAGCUAACUAAUUCAAUCUAAGUAAUUUUAUCAACCAAAAAAAAAAAAAAAUCUCAAAUUCAAUCACCCAGCUUUUAAAGAAGAAGCCCCACUACACUAAAAACGUUUCAAUAAAGGAGCGUACCUUCAACGACAAUCGAACUUGAAUCAAACUUUAAUGACCUCAAUUCCAACAUAGAAUUAAACCAUUAUCGCGUUGGAUAUCUUGUGCAAGGUGCGAUUGUUUCAUCAAUUGAAGAGCAACAUCCAAAAAGGAAAAAGAAAAAAGGAAAACCAACAUCCACACCAAAAAGAAAUGAUUUCGCAAAGAAACUGAGAUAGGUUAAUAAAAGAGCCAGGCUGCGUUAAGUCCAAAACAAAUUUUUUAUAAGCCAGAAUGAAUCAAUAUGAACAAUAAUGGUACAAGUUUCAAACACAAGCAUCACCAAUUUAUCCAGCAAAUGAAACUCUGAUAUGAUUAGACUUAUUCAUGUACAGACACACAGUUAAACAUGUCAUUAGAUUCAUUCCCUCAAGGAUCAGCUUUGCCAGCUACUUCCUCAUCAUCACUGGAGGGAUAUUCAUCUUCACUCA